RNAcentral lists this ribosomal RNA (594 nucleotides) under Candidatus Woesebacteria bacterium. RNAcentral's name for it is "bacterial SSU rRNA". It matches the Rfam family "Bacterial small subunit ribosomal RNA", at positions 1 to 638 of the family's 1533-position model. Lineage: Bacteria; Candidatus Woeseibacteriota. The record is from RNAcentral.
CUUAAUGAGAGUUUGAUCCUAGCUCAGGGUGAAUGCUGGCGGCGUGGAUAAGUCAUGCAAGUCAAGGGGGCCCGCAAGGGCAACCGGCAGACGAGGUAGUAACACGUAGGUACGUCCCCCGAAGUCGGGCAUAGCCAUCCGAAAGGAUGGGUAAUUCCCGAUAGUCCCGCAAGGGUAAAGGUUUUUCGCUUCGGGAGCGGCCUGCGUAGUAUCAGCUAGUUGGUAGGGUAACGGCCUACCAAGGCUACGACGCUUAGGGGGGCUGAGAGGCCGAUCCCCACCGAUGGAACUGCGAACGGUCCAUACUCCUACGGGAGGCUGCAGACGAGAAUAUUCCGCAAUGGACGAAAGUCUGACGGAGCGACGCCGCGUGAUCGAUGAAGUGCUUCGGUACGUAAAGAUCUUUUAUCGGGGACGAAGUUUAUUGACGGUACCCGAUGAAUAAGGGGCUCCUAACUCUGUGCCAGCAGGAGCGGUAAUACAGAGGCCCCAAGCAUUACCCGGAAUCACUGGGCGUAAAGGGUGUCUAGGCGGCCAUAUUAGUCUCUCGUUAAAUCUGUGGGCUCAACCUGCAGUCUGCGAGGGAAACGGUAU